GCCCGCGUGGCCCAAUGGAUAAGGCGACCGCCUUCUAAAUUUGAAACAAGCGGUAGACUGCGGGUUCGAGUCCCGCCGUGGGUA
Molecule: transfer RNA, 84 nt
Filed under: Magnetovibrio sp.
Lineage: Bacteria; Pseudomonadati; Pseudomonadota; Alphaproteobacteria; Rhodospirillales; Magnetovibrionaceae
Description: tRNA-Arg
Rfam family: tRNA
About the family: Transfer RNA (tRNA) molecules are approximately 80 nucleotides in length. Their secondary structure includes four short double-helical elements and three loops (D, anti-codon, and T loops).
Source: RNAcentral